Molecule: transfer RNA, 74 nt
Filed under: Candidatus Lloydbacteria bacterium RIFCSPHIGHO2_02_FULL_51_22
Lineage: Bacteria; Candidatus Lloydiibacteriota
Also listed under: 1 other name
Description: tRNA-Thr
Rfam family: tRNA
About the family: Transfer RNA (tRNA) molecules are approximately 80 nucleotides in length. Their secondary structure includes four short double-helical elements and three loops (D, anti-codon, and T loops).
Source: RNAcentral
GCCUGGGUAGCUCAAUUGGCAGAGCAUCGGUUUUGUAAACCGAAGGUUUGUGGGUUCGACCCCCACCCCAGGCU